RNAcentral lists this ribosomal RNA (3147 nucleotides) under Fomitopsis palustris. RNAcentral describes it as "large subunit ribosomal RNA". It matches the Rfam family "Bacterial large subunit ribosomal RNA". Lineage: Eukaryota; Fungi; Basidiomycota; Agaricomycetes; Polyporales; Fomitopsidaceae. The record is from RNAcentral.
UAAUAGUAAAGUAAAAUAAAAGAAUCGAUGACAAUAUAGUUUAUAACAUCAAAGUAAUUUCAAAGGAGUUAUUAAGGAUAACUAGCAAAUUUAUAAAAAAGGAGGUAAACCAAAAGCCAAUAAGAAAGCAAAUUGGCGAUCCUAAGGGAAACCUUUAGUAUAAACACUUCCCAAAGUAAAACAUUUUAGUAGGGAAAGGAAAGGAAAUCAACCGAGACUCCGAAAGUAAUGGCGAGUGAAAUCGGAACAGCCUAAAAUAUUUAAUAAUUAAUAGAAAAUCCAUAGAAGGUAAGAGUCCUGUAUAUUAAUUAAAAAAUAACAAAAAAAGUACGAUGAGAGAAACCUUGUCGGAAUAUAGGGGAACCAUCCUCUAAGGCUAAGUAUUAUAAAUUUAGCGAUAGACAAAAGUACUGUAAAGGAAAGUUGAAAAAUUUAUUAAAAAUAUAAAAUGAAAAUUGAAUUAGUAACUCUAUAAGCAGUCGAAGUUUAUAAAAUUAUAAAUGACGGCGUACCUUUUGCAUAAUGGGUCAGCAAGUUAAUAGGAGUAGCAAGGUUAAAAGCCUUAGUGAAAGCGACUGGACUAACUAGCUAAACGUUCUUAAUAAAUAUUAUUUUAUGUAUUUAUUUUGGUUUAUUUUGUUUAGUAUUUAUAUUAUAUUAUUUCUGAUAAUAUACUUAUAAAUAGGAUAAUCCUUAAUAUUCUUUAUUUUAAAAAAUAUUAAGUAAAUUAUUCAUUAGGAAUAGUGGUGGAUAAGUUACUUCUAUUAGACCCGAAGCUAGGUGAUCUUCCCAAGACCAGAUUAUAAUGGAUCGAACGGGUGAAUGUUGCAUAAUUCUCCGAAGAGUUUUGGGAAGCGGUGAAAUGCCAAUCUGACCUAGUGAUAGCUGGUUUUCUACGAAACAUAUGUAAGUAUGAGAUCUAUAUUCUACUAAAAAUAUCUUUAUUUUAAUUUUUUAAUUUAAAUUUUAUUUUUAGUAAUAAAAAUUUAUGGUGGUACAGCACGGAAUUCCGAACAGUAGUAGUAUUUUAUAGAAAUAUUUUUUUUUAUAUUUUACUAUUUUUAGUUUAGGUUGAGGGGGUGUGAAAGCCUUACCAAUGGAAGAUAAACUCGAAAUGACAUAAAUUGAUGAUAGAUAUUCAGACUGCUCAUGAGAAGUUGAGUAGUCAAGACGGAAACAGCCGAGAACACGAAUACAAGGUCCCAAAUGAUUAUUAAGUGAAAUUAAGGUGAUAAUAAAUUGAAAGCAAUUGUAAAGUAAGCUCGGAAGUAGCUAUCUUUUAAAGAACGUAAUGUAACAACGCAGCAAUAUUUUAGACAAUUACACUAACAAUUCAACGGGUCUAAAUAAUCAACCGAUAUCGUGUUUAUUAUAAAUAACUAAAAAAUAAUUAUUUAUAGUAUAGGUAGUAGAACAUUCAGUUUAACUAUAAUUUAACAGUGUUUCAUUGUUUAUAAGUAACUGAAGAGAGAAUGCUGACAUGAGUAACGUAAAAAGAAGUUAUAAUACUUCUCGCCGAAUACGAAAGGGUUAUAAGGCCAUGUUAAACAGCCUUAUUUUAAUGCGGCCUCUAAGGACCAAAAUCCAAAGUUUUGGCUGAUGAGUAAUUAACUGAAAGUCCAAAUGCAAAUUAAUGGACCUGGAAAAUUAAGUUAAUAAAACUACCGUACCCUAAACCGACACAGGUUCGUAAGUAGAGAAUACUAAGGCGUAGAGCUAAAAGUUGUUAAGGAACUCGGCAAAUUCACCUCAUAAGUUUGACGACAAGAGGUACCCCUGAACAUUAAUAUACUAAAAAUAUUAAUAAAUAGGUGAGGUGGCACAUAAUCGGAGGCCCCGACUGUUUACUAAAAACACAAUUCAGAGCAAUAAUUAAGAUAAUAGUAUUCUGGAUGAAAUUUGCCCAAUGCCAUUAAUAUAAGAGAGGUAAUUAAAAGUUACUAAUCGAAAGUCUGGUUAAUAGCGGUCUUAACUAUGAGGAUCCAAAGGUAGCAAAAUCAAUUGGCCAUUAAAUGUGGUCCGGAAUCAGUAGUGUAACGAUGGUCUCACUGUCUCUACAACUUGCUCAGUGAAAUUGAAUUACCCGUGCAGAUGCGGGUUGCCUCCAGGUGGACGGGAAGACCCUAUGCAGCUUUACUGUAGUUAGUUAUCACGUUGAUCUACAACAACCUUGGUUAAUAGUGAUUAGGGAUGUCGAGGGACGAAAUGUGGAAUACCUCCUAGCUAAGGUUGGGUCAAUGUUUACCUUAUAAUAAUUUAAUAUUAGAGGGAGAGUUGACUAAUUGGCAGUUUGACUGGGGCGGUCGUCUUUGAUAUAGUAGCAAAGUACAUCCAAAGUUUAAAUUUAGAAUAUCUUUAAUAUUUAUUUAUUAUAGGAUAUACAGACAUACAAAACUAUAAGUUUAUAAAUAUAAUUUUUUAUGUUUAUAAAUAUUGUCUUUUUUUUAAUAUAAUAUUAAAAAAAGGAAGAAUUACGAUAAGGUAGAGCUAGAUAAUUGUAUGGGAAACAAUCUACUAGUGAGAAAAGUAGUACAAGGCGUAAUGGCGGAAAGCAUGCCUAACUGUAAGACCUAGAAGUCGCACAGAUACGUAAGUAGGGCAUAGUGACCCUUCGCUAUAAUAUGGAAUAGACGGGGAUCAAUCGAUAAAAGUUACGCUAGGGAUAACAGGCUGAUAGCUGGUGAGAGUACACAUUGUCCCGGCUGUUUGGCACCUCGAUGUCGACUCAACCUAUCCUCCGGGUGAAAAAGAUUGGAAGGGUUCGGCUGUUCGCCGAUUAAAAGGUUACGCGAGUUGGGUUUAAUACGACGUGAGUCAGUAUGGUCCCUAUCUUCUGGAGGGAAAAAUAGUAAAAAGGGGGAGACCUUCUAGUACGAAAGGAUCAAUAGGCUGUGUUUCUAUAGUGUACCAAUUGUUAUUCUUUUUUGUGCUUUUUUUAUAAAAAAAAGGAUAGAAAAAAAAGAUAAGCAUAGUUGGGUAGCCACAAACAUGAUAGAUAAGUGCUGAAUGAAUAUGAAGCAAGAAUCUAUCCCCUAGAUACUAUCAUAAAUAGCUAUUUUUGCUAUUUAGUUUUAAGAAAUAGAACAUUUCUAGUUAGGAUGAAAAUAUAAUUAUUUAAAAAUAUUUAGUUUAUCAUUACUAAUUUAU